GGCACUGCUGCCAAUUCCAAUGUGAAUGAGGCCACCCAACACAUCCACACAAGCUCCCAACUUGAGAGUGUCGAUGGGACACGUGUUCUUUGGUGGUGAUGGGGUUGGCACUGGUGUUGGUGGUGGUGGAGGAGGACAUGGUGUCUCAGUGGGUGGAGGAGGCUUAACUGGUACAACUGGGGUAGGUGUAGGUGUUGGUGGGCUUGGUGGUACAACAGGUGGUGAUGGUGGUGGCUUAACUGGUACAACUGGGGUAGGUGUUGGUGUUGGUGGGCUUGGUGGUACAACAGGUGGUGAUGGUGGUGGCUUAACUGGUACAACUGGGGGCUUGGGUACAUAGGGUGGUGGGGGUUGUACAACUGGGGGCUUGGGUACAUAUGGUGGUGGUGGUUGUACAACUGGGGGUUUGGGGAUGAAGGGUGGGUGCACAAUUGGGGGUUUAGGGAUAAAAGGUGGGUGCACGAUUGGGGGCUUGGGGAUGAAGGGUGGGUGCACAAUUGGGGGCUUGGGGAUGAAGGGUGGGUGCACAAUUGGGGGUUUAGGGAUGAAGGGUGGGUGCACAAUUGGGGGUUUAGGGAUGAAGGGUGGGUGCACAAUUGGGGGUUUAGGGAUGAAGGGUGGGUGCACAAUUGGGGGCUUGGGGAUGAAGGGUGGGUGCACAAUUGGGGGCUUGGGGUGGGGUGGUGGUUUGACAAUAGGAGGCUUGGGGAUGAAGGGAGGUCUCACAAUAGGUGGUUUGGGGACAGAAGGAGGUUUUGGUAUAUGGGGAGGAUAUACAAUGGGGGGUUUGGGGCCAUGAGGUGGCUUGGGUACAUGGGGUGGAUGAGGAUGAGGUGGCUUUGAUGGUGGCUUGGGAACAUAGGGAGGCUUUACAUGAGGGGGAUGGGGUGGUUUUGAUGGUGGUUUGGGAACAUAGGGAGGCUUUACAUGAGGAGGAAGAGGUGGUUUUGAUGGUGGUUUGGGAACAGAGGGAGGCUUUACAUGAGGGGGAUGAGGUGGGUGUUUAGGUGGUUUAGGGAUGAAGGGUGGCUUUACAUGAGGAGGCUGUUUGGGUGGCAAGUGUGGAGGGUAUGUUGGUGGUGGACAGUAGGAGUUAGCAAGAGAAGUGAGCAAACUACCCAAAUUCACAAUGAGGACUAAGAGCAAAGCCAGGGUAUAAUUCCCCAUGUUCAAAACUCCACAACCCUCAAAAGAGUUGGGUUGUUUAAGACCGGAUAUUGAAACCCAACACCAUGCAAAAGCCUUCUUAUAGAGAUAUGGUGAGACAAGUUGUGAGUGAGUAUGUACAUAAGAGAGAGAGAGAGAGAGAGAGAGAGAGAGAGAGAGAGAGAGAACACAAUCCUGUACCUUUCUUUGUGGUACCAACUAAAGAUAUAUAAAACUAUUAAUCUCUGUGCAUAAUUAAUUAAUUUGUCAAAUUGCCAAGAUGCACAUUGAAUUGAGGUCUCUCCAAACUCCAAACUUCAACUUGAUCAGUAUCAAAUUCACCACAAACAAAAGGGAGGAAUUGAGUCACUUUCUUCCUUUACAUUCAGAACCAAGUAGGGCACUGCAAUCACUGACUUAAACUGUAGACAAAAGUAUUCAGCUUUUAAGGAGAAAAGGAUCAAGAAAACGCGGUUUUGUGAUAGAGGCAAGUUUUAACAUGUAGUGAGAGCCUUGCAAGUGACUAUUCAACCCGUGAUUGAGGUUUUGAUGCCAAGCCACAUGUGAGGCUUUCAUUGACAACAUUUUCUUGCAUUAAAAAAUUCUAAGGGUACAAAAGAGGCCUUAGACUUUUUCUACUUAAAGCACAUGGUUUUUCCUUUUUUCAUUUUUUGGGGGUUUUCUCCCGAAUAGACGAGUCCAUUAAUGCUACAAUGUUUUAGUCUAAGAAAUAUUCCUAUAUGAAUAGACCGUACAAUUGUAUUUGAGUGUCGGUUAUCUUAAUUUAUUAUUUUUUAUAUAAACGAUAUUGUAUUUUAAUUUAAUCCAUACUAUAAAAAGAAUUAUUUAAAUUUAGAUACAAAAUAAAGAACACAUUUGUUCUAACUAACUUAAUUAAUCCUAUGUGUGCAAUUAUUUUUUACAAUUAAACAACUCGAUUUGAUGUAGGAAUUUUCCUUGUACAAUUUAACUUGCUCGCUUUGCAAUUUCAUUUCAAAAAAGUAUAUGCAUGGCCUAGCCAUCAUGUCUUUCAAAUCAACAGCUCAUCAUAGGGCAUCUUUUUAAAAUGAGGGUAAUGCUGGCUUCACAUGCAGCUGCACAAUAAUUUCAAGAAUUAUUAAUCGUACCUAGCAUUGUUAGCAAGACAUUUAGGGCUGUAAUUAUGUGAAAAGUGAUGUUCGCCGAAUCAAUUAUAUAAGGAGAACUUACUGCAAAACAACUCUGUGUGGAACCCAUCUACUUGUUCUUUGUUUUUUUUAGGUCUGAAGUCCAUCUACUUGUUCACUCCACGCCAUUGAAGUGUAGUCUAUCUAAAAUGGUAAGGGUGCCCUAGUUUAGGCGUAAGUACUAUGUGCAGGGUUUUGGGUUUUUCUUUGUAGACAAAAACCUAGAAGUAUCAUAUCUACAUUGUUCUGACUAUUAAAAAAUUAGACAAAGGGGUAAUGAUUAUGCCAAAAUGAAUUUCAACAUCACUUUCGACCGACAAAAUUUCAUUUGCUUAUAUCGAAGCUCGUAUUGAAAUUUAUUAAUUUUAACAAAGUUAGAAUAUGUCAUCUGUCACGUAAUUUGGUGAAUAAAUUUUAUCUUUCGGUGCCUCUACAAUAUUAAAGCAUCAAAUAGUGCAAAUCAUGACAUCUUAUUUCAACGUUCAUUAACAGACCUUCAUACAAUCAAGGCAUCGGAUGCAAGUAGGGUGGUAGAUUUUUUCCCCUUUUCAACCCAAUAAUAUGAGUUAAAACAAUUAUAUGUGGAACACAAUAACACCGCUUUAAUAAUUCUAUCUAAAAGGGUAUAUGCGACAGCUGGCCAAGAGGUAUAUUCCAUGUACACAAAAUGUUACUUUCAACUACAUGCCAAUAUUUCUACAGCGAAAAUUCCAAAUCAACAUGCAAAGGGAAAAUGAAAUGGGAUGUACUUGCUGUAGUGCCUGUUUGGAUAGAAAGAAAGGAAAAGAAAAGAAAAGAAAAUUCAUUUCUUGGAGAAACCAGAAAUUGAGUUUUUCGUCCUUAUUUUCGAAGUGUCGCAAUCAAGUUUUUUUGAUAUAUUGAUGAGUCAUCCAUUGUAGAAGAAAUGGCAUCCAUCAAAACCUGCCACCAUUAAAAUCCAUGCAAAUCCACUUGUUACAAUUAUAUGAAGUCACUUGUGCAAAGCGACAUAUGAAUUUAAAGGGCGAUAAAGCCGAUGUAAUAUAUGUAGGGUCAGGCUGAGACUACUUUGUCUCCAAAUCUUUAACCAAAUCUAAUUUAACACUAAUUAUUAUUGCUCACUACAUCAAGUAAGAAAGAUUAAUAGUAUUUUUCGGUGUGAAUGCAUAAACGUAUCUGUGGAUUCUUAUUAUUUCGAUGUGAGCUUACAGCUUAGCAUAUUAACCUCACUUCAUAUAAAAAUUAUCUCCAAUCCUGAGGUCUAACUUUAUAAAAAAAAAUGAAAAUGACUUUGUAGGUCCAAAUCAAAAUGCAACGUGCCGACAAACACGGACUUAGUCAAGUUGGUUAAAGUGAAUGUGCUAUUCUCACUUUGCAUUCGAUUUCAAAUUCCCCUCCUUAUGAUUUAGAUUAGAUCUAAGUAAAACAUUGCUUAUAUAUAAAAGCAAUAUGCAGCUGUAUGCAGAAGAUUUGGUUGAAUAAUUGCUCUAUAUAAAAUAAUAGGUAAAGUACCUUGAUUAUCUUUUUUCCAACAACCCUGUUCCCUAUAUCUGCCCAUUGUUUAUAUCAUAAUCAAUCAAUUAAUUGAUUAACAACACCAAAUUCUUGAUACCUUCAGCAAAGACACGAUAUUUUCUACCCAAUUUAGUUUGUCGUUUGAAGAAAAAGAAGAAGGAAAAAAAAAACAUUUAGUUUGUCAGAUCAUAUCUUAUAGCAUGAGUGUUAUAUUUAAAACUAUAUAAGAAGGGGCAAAAUUUGGACAUACUUGGAUCAACUGUAACAAUCAUGGCAGUCCCUCCAAAAUCACAAGUGCCACCGGCAGCCCUGGUGCUCUGCCAGUAGCUGUUGAAGGCGUACGAAGCGUGGGACAACAAUGUGUCUGGUUUAUAGCAGGACCCAUUGGGCUGGAUUGACUUGCAGUCUGCACCAGACCCACACGCAUAGUCCAGGGCCUCUUGGACUAUUGGGCCAGGCACGGCUGGCUUGGCCACACACCACACCGCGCCAGACUGUGGUGGCUUUUUUCGUGGAGGGCUUGUGGGCCCUGAUGGUGGAGGGUAAGCUACAGGUGGGGCCAAGGCUGGUGGGCCUGGGAUAGGCUUGGGUGGGGAUGGAGGAUUUUUGGGUGGGCCUGGAAUUGUGGUGGGUGGGCCAGGUGGGUGAGGGGUGGGCCCAUUUGCAGGUGGUGGUUUUGGGAUGGGUGAGCAAGUGGGUGCAGAAGAUGAAGGGGAGGAGGAAGAUGAAGGAGUAUUUGGUUGAGGUGGGUUUUGGGAAAAUGGUGGAUUUGCACAGUAUGGAGGAAGAGGAACAUUUCCAGGCAAGGGAAGUGGUGCCAGUGAAUCAAAGGGUGGGAAAGAGAAGGGAGGACUUACCUCUAGUGGCUUAACAUUUGAGGAAGGCAAUGGUAAAUCUAACUCUAAGUGAUUUAUUGCUUUCAGCUUCUUCUCUAAUUCUGUGUCUUGGGAUUUUAAGAAUUGUGCAAAAAUUCUUGCAUCUGCUCUAAAACAAAGUCACAUAAUAAGUUGUUAAAAUUGUUCAAGUAGUGUGUCUUUGGAAAACCCAAAUAAAUAAAUAAAUUCUUGCUUACCACAUAAAAUGGAGAAAGUUGUGAAUGAAAUGGAGAUGAUGGCCAAUCUCAUGUAAGACAUUGUGGGCUGCAUCUCUUGAAAAGCCAAUGUGAUUAAAGGCAAAAUACCCAGAAGAAGCUGACUGAAAAUUUUGUGCUUAUUUAAUUCAUCCCUCAAGCAAACACUUGGGAUAAGUAUAUAUAGGCAGAUGCUUAGGCAGGCCAGAGAUGUGUGGGAGUGGUAACAAAAGGCGGUGGCCAUAAAGGAAAAUUAUCAACAUAGAGAGACUAAAGGAGAUUCCUGUGUCACAACUUUGUAGCCUAAGACUCAAAAAUAGUGUAAGAUAUACAACAUGCAGAGGACAAAGGUGAGGGAGAGAGAGACUAGAGAGUGUUGGUUUUGGAGAGGUGUACAAGAAACUUUUCUCCCUUUUUGCAUCUUCCUUUGAAUAUAUUCUUGCUUGGCAGUGGAGAAAUAUGAACAGUGGAGUUUUCUGCACUUUUAUUUGCUUGCUUUCCACUCAAAGUGAAACAAACUUCCACUCUGUUAAAGUAUAAGAGAUUUAGCUGAGUUUGUUACUUAAAUUAUGAGCCUUUGGAUCACAGUCCAAAUGGACAGCUAGGAUGUAUUCUUAGGUGUAGUUGAUUUGUGCCAAGUGUAGCUAUCUCAUAGGGUAGUUAAUGAUUGGUUAGAUUUGCUGAUGUAAGAGAGAAUAUUCUUUUCUUUUACUGUUAUAUUGGUAUGCACAGAUUGUGCAUGACUAAGUGUGAGAAUACAAUCUGAUAUUUUCAUCUUCUUCUUCUCCACGUUUUCUCUCUACAUUUUACUAGAGCUCCAUUCACCUAUAAUCCAAAAACAUGGCAGAUCAUAGUCUGCAAAUGCUAACAUGGUAUCACUGAGCCAGGUUUGAUCGUUUAGCUGGGCGUUUGAAUCUGUGAAGGAAGUGAGCUGCGUUUUCUAUCAAAUCUUGCUCUCUGUGAAAUCUGUGUCUAACAUGGCAGGAUCUGGAGGUGGUGAGCUGCGUGCUCCAAUCUUCAAUGGUGAGAACUAUGAAUUCUGGAGCAUAAGGAUGAAAACCAUUUUCAAAUCUCAUGGGAUUUGGGAGCUGGUUGAGAGAGGAAUAGAAGGCUCAGAUUCGAAGGGAGCUGAUGAAUCUGAUACAAAACAAAAGGAAAAAGAGGAAUCAAGUGGUUCUGGGAAGAUGGCUAUAGCUGAGAUCCUGAUGAAGGAUGCUAAGGCCUUGGGGUUGAUUCAAGGAGCAGUAUCUGAGGUGAUCUUCCCCAGGAUUUCUCAUGAAGAAUCAUCUCAUGGAGCCUGGAACAUCCUGAAGCAGGAAUUUCAUGGUGAUAAGCAGGUAAGAAGUGUAAAACUGCAGGGACUUCGUAGAGAAUUUGAAUACACUAGAAUGAGAGAGGAUGAAUCUCUAUCUGCUUAUCUUACAAAGUUGUUUGAUCUAAUAAACCAAAUGAGAGGUUAUGGGGAAGAACUAUCUAGAGAAAGAAUUGUGCAGAAAAUGUUAAUUAGUCUGCUGCCUGGAUAUGAUCCAAUCUGUUCUGUGAUUGAACAUUCAAGGGAUCUAGAUGUAAUUGAGGUUCAAGAGGUGGUAGCCUCAUUGAAGAGCUUUGCUCAAAGGUUGGAAAGACAUCAUGAGAACAAAACUGAGAAGGCCUUUGCUAGUCUGAGUACAGAUACCAAAUCUGCUAAGGCCACUGGAAAUCAGAAUUCCAAGCAGCAGAAGACUUGGAAAGACAAAGGGAAGAAGUGGGAUAAUAAACCUACGGAUGGAACUAAAACUCCUUGCAAACAUUGUGGGAAAUUGCAUUAUGGAGAAUGUAGGUUCAAGGGCAAACCAAAGUGCUAUAACUGUGACAAGCUUGGUCACAUUGCCAAAGACUGCUAUAGCAAGAAACCUGAACAGCAGCAGCAGCUUCAGUUUGCUACUCAGGUUACUUCUUCACCAACCAUGUUCUAUGCUAACAAUGCAACUGAGAAAAGGUCCAUGGAAGAGGUAUGGUACUUGGACAGUGGGUGUAGUAACCACAUGACUGGCAGAGAAGAUGUUUUGAUUGAUAUUGAUAGGAAUGUGACUGCAAAAGUUGCUAUGGGAACAGGACAGUUGGUUGAUGUUAUUGGAAAAGGAAGCCUGAUGGUUCAAACUAAAAUGGGAAGGAAAUAUAUCAAGGAGGUGCUAUUGGUAUCUGGUCUCAAAGAGAACCUACUCAGCGUUGGACAAAUGAUGGAGCAUGGAUAUUUCCUAAUUUUUGGAGAUAAUAAGGCAGAAGUCUAUGAUGAUAGCUCUCUUUCAAAUCUAGUGGCUAGAGUGGAUAUGAAAGGAAAUAGAAGUUUUCCUUUGAAACUUCAAACAGAUUUACAUAUUGCUCUAACUGCAAGCAUUAACCAAUCAACCUUGCUUUGGCAUAGGAGAAUGGGGCACUUAAACUUGCAGAGUUUGAAACUGCUGCAGAAUGAAGACAUGGUGUUUGGUCUGCCAGAAAUCAAAAAUACAAAUGCAGUGUGUGAAGGCUGUACUUUUGGAAAACACUGCAGGAAGGCAUUUCCAAAAGAAGCAACCAGCAGAGCUACAUCUCCACUGGAAUUGGUACACACUGAUGUGUGUGGACCAAUGCAAACUGUUACCAAAGCAGAAAACAGGUAUUUCCUCACCUUUAUAGAUGACUGUACAAGAAUGUGCUGGAUCUAUUUCUUGAGAUGCAAAUCUGAGGUAUUCACAGUGUUUAAGAGGUUUAGAGCCACUGUUGAAUUGCAAAGUGGAUAUAAGGUGAAGAAACUAAGAAGUGAUAGGGGAGGAGAGUACACCUCUAAUGAGUUCAAUAAAUUCUGUGAUGAAAUGGGAAUGGAGAGGCAGCUUACAGUGGCAUACUCACCACAGCAGAAUGGUGUGGCUGAGAGGAAAAACAGAACCAUAGUGGAGAUGGCCAAGUGUAUGAUGAUUGAGAAGGGCAUGCCACUUGAGUUUUGGGCAGAAACUGUUAAUACUGCAGUGUAUAUUCUAAACCGAAGUCCAACUAAAGCUCUGGACAAGAAAACACCAUUUGAAGCCUAUAGUGGGAGAAAGCCAGGACUUAAACACUUAAGAGUGUUUGGAUCUUUGUGCUAUGCACAUGUUCCAAAUCCACAGAGGCAGAAACUGGAUUCAGCAAGCAACAGAUGUGUGUUUCUAGGAUAUGGCAGCUGUGAGAAAGGGUAUAGACUGUAUAACAUUGCCACUGAAAAGGUGAUUAUCUCAAGGGAUGUGGUAUUUAAUGAAGAAGCUAGCUGGGAUUGGAAUGCAAAGCAAGAAUGCAGUGUUUCAGUGCCAUUUACUGAAGUUGUGUCUGAAAAGGAGAAAGGGAGCAAUGACACAGCUGUGAAGCAAGCAGAACAUUCAGUUGAGAAUGAAUUGCUAACAGAAGACAAUGAAGAAAGAUCUGUGGUUGAUACAGGUACUCAAGAUAUUGACCACACUCCAUUGAGAUACAAAAGUCUUACAGAGAUCUAUGAAAGCUGCAACAUCUGCAUCAUUGAACCAGAAUCCUUUGAAGAAGCUGUCAAGGAUGCAGCAUGGCAAAAGGCAAUGGAAGCAGAACUUGAGAUGAUAGAAAAGAAUGAAACUUGGGAUUUGGUAAAAAGACCAUCUGAUAAACCUAUAGUUGGUGUCAAAUGGAUCUUUAAAGUCAAGCUAAAUCUGGAUGGUUCUGUUCAGAAAAACAAAGCAAGGCUAGUAGCUAAAGGCUACACUCAAAAGCCAGGAAUUGAUUUCAAUGAGACAUUUGCACCUGUUGCUCGGCUUGACACAGUUAGAACACUGAUUGCUCUGGCUGCUCAGAAAAGGUGGAAACUGUUUCAGCUUGAUGUAAAGUCAGCCUUCUUAAAUGGAGUGCUACAAGAGGAGGUGUAUGUGGAUCAACCUCCAGGAUUUGUGGUUCAAGGCAAGGAAGACAGAGUUUAUAGACUCAAGAAGGCUCUUUAUGGUCUCAAACAAGCUCCAAGAGCUUGGUAUGAAGAAAUUAAUUCAUACUUUGCUGCUGCAGGAUUUCAGAAAAGUCCUAGUGAGGCUACAUUAUAUGUGAAAGCUGCAGAAAGUGGAAUCCUAAUUGUUUCACUAUAUGUAGAUGAUAUCAUCUACACAGGAAGCUCUAAAGAAUUGGUGAUGAGUUUUAAAACUGAAAUGAUGAAGAGAUAUGAAAUGACAGAUCUGGGAUUGUUGCACCAUUUUCUGGGAUUGGGUGUGAUACAAGCUGAGUCCUACAUCUUCUUGCAUCAGAAGAAAUAUGCAAGAACACUGUUGGACAAGUUUGGUUUAAAGGACUGUAAAGCAGUGUCAACUCCACUUGCUAUGAAUGAGAAGUUAUCCAAGGAGGAUGGAAGUGAACAGGCUGAUGAAAAGCUGUACAGACAGAUUGUUGGAAGCUUACUAUAUCUGACUGCAACAAGGCCAGAUAUCAUGUUUGCUGCAAGUCUCUUAGCAAGAUACAUGCAUGGACCUACUAAGAAACAUAUGGGAACUGCUAAGAGAGUACUUAGAUACAUUCAAGGUACUCUAGACUAUGGCAUUGCAUAUGAGAAAGGAAAAGAGGCAAUGCUGGUUGGAUAUUGUGACAGUGAUUGGUCAGGCUGUGAAGAUGAUAUGAGGAGCACAUCUGGCUAUGCCUUUCACCUUGGAUCAGGUGUUUUCUCUUGGGCAUCUGUUAAGCAGAGCAGUGUAGCUCUAUCCACUGCAGAGGCAGAAUAUGUUAGUGCAGCUGAAGCUACAGCUCAAGCAGUCUGGUUAAGGUUUGUUCUAUCUGAUUUUGGUGAAGAACAAGUUGAGGCUACAACAAUCCUAUGUGACAACACUUCUGCAAUAGCAAUAACAAAGAAUCCUGUGCAUCAUCACAGGACAAGACACAUAAGCAGAAGGUUUCAUUUCAUCCGAGAUGCUUUGCAAAAUGGUGAGAUUGAUCUGCUAUACUGCAAAACUGAUGAGCAGAAUGCAGACAUCUUCACUAAGGCUUUGGCAAGGAAUAGGUUUGAAUAUCUAAGGAGCAAGCUUGGAAUUAUUUCAGCUAAACACUUAGAAGGGAGUGUUAAAGUAUAAGAGAUUUAGCUGAGUUUGUUACUUAAAUUAUGAGCCUUUGGAUCACAGUCCAAAUGGACAGCUAGGAUGUAUUCUUAGGUGUAGUUGAUUUGUGCCAAGUGUAGCUAUCUCAUAGGGUAGUUAAUGAUUGGUUAGAUUUGCUGAUGUAAGAGAGAAUAUUCUUUUCUUUUACUGUUAUAUUGGUAUGCACAGAUUGUGCAUGACUAAGUGUGAGAAUACAAUCUGAUAUUUUCAUCUUCUUCUUCUCCACGUUUUCUCUCUACAUUUUACUAGAGCUCCAUUCACCUAUAAUCCAAAAACAUGGCAGAUCAUAGUCUGCAAAUGCUAACACACUCUCUCUCUCUCUCUCUCUCUCUCUCUCUCUCUCUCUCUCUAUAUCAGGCUCUACAUUUCUCAGGAAGCUAUUAACUUGUUAUUAAAUGGUUCCUUGGGAUUAAUAUUCCAAAAUAGUUUGACAUCCUUUCCAGCCUUAGCAAUCAUAUUUCACACACUAAUGCAUGUUUUUCAGCUUGAUGUGGUAUUAGUUGACUUCAAUAUUACAGAACUCUUGGUUCAUGCUCAUCACUGAACCUGAAACCUAGGAGUUUUUGUUUGGGAAUGUAACCAGGAAGAUCAAAAUAUACCAAACUUGGGAACGAGAGAGGUGCAUAAAACUUUUGCUCAUCAUCAAAGCUAAAUGUGUCAUCGUAGUUUGAGCAUAUUUCUUACUCUCUAUAUAUUUCAUUGCAGACACACAAGACUUUCAGUUUUAACUAAGAACAACUAAAAAGCCCACAUGAACUCCUUUGCUAGAAUUUGCUGAAAAAGAAAUUGUAAUCUUCAUUAAGCAGGCUUACAUAGGUAAAUAAAUUGUGUAGCUCUUAUUCUUGUUAUUAACUGUUAAAUUAAAAUCUCCAUGUCAUCCUGUUUUUUUUUUUUUAACUGUUUGGCAACACCACUUUGCCAUCCAUAAACUAUAACUAUUCUUCUCCCUAAGGGAAUUUUAUUAGGAAAUUACCCAUCUGGUAUGUAAAUCAUGUUUCAGAGUUCACAUUUAAACACAACCUUUAAACUUGGACAAUAAAUUAUAGGACCGUUGCCAACAACCCGACGCCAUCUAUAACAAGUGUGGCUUGAACUGUUCUUGAAUUUAGAAAGCAAAUUUAAGAAGCUCCAUUACUUAGCAUGUAAGUUUUGUUUCCGAGUUCAAUUGGAAAAAAUUAUGCUAUCGUUGGCAACUGUCCCUUGCCAUCUAUAACAAUCCAGGCUUGAACUUUUGUUGAAUUUAGGAAGCAAUUUAAUUAGCUUCACUACUCAAAAUGCAAAGGAUGUUUUUAAAUUUCAAAUUCAAACAUUAGGAAGCAAUUGAAUAAAUUAUGUGGCUGUUGCAACGGUCCCCUGCCAUAUUCGAUAUCUACCAUGUUUAUCAUUUAUGACCUGAAAAGGCAUAACAGGGCAACUAAGCUGACUCUAGUAUAAAUCUGCUCAAUUGUUCAAGUUAUCCAUCAUAUUGUGUUUGCUAAACCACAGCCUUAUUCAGGACAAUAAGAAAUAUGGCUGCAGACCCUUCCCCAAGGAUGCUAAUCACUCAUAAGGGACCCUGUGUCCGCUACAUUGCUUGGACUCCACUCUUGAAUGGUUUCUGGAAGCUCAGCUUCACAGGUCAUUACAAGCACGAAUCGAAGACUACUUCAGUCGGCUGCAUUUCUGAGAGAUCACAAUGCUGUAUUUAAAGCUGCCUUUGCGCAACAUGUAGAAAUGGUCAGCAGCUUUACAAGGGCUCAGUCGACUGCAGUCAGCUGGGCCCUUGAAUUAGCUAAAGGUGAAGGUGUCGAUUACCUUGAAAUCGAAGGAAAUCAUCCGUUUGUGUUUCGGAUGAUGUGGGGCGACAUCACCAGAACUAGCUCUAUGAUCAGGGGCUUGUUAAUAAAUGCAGAUGUGAUUUAAGACAGAUUAGGAGUGUGAGGCUCCGACAUGUCAACAUGUAUGGUAAUUUGGCUGCGAACUUGCUUGCGAGAAUUUCUUUGCAGCCUCAACAAGAGAGGUCAUGGUUUGGUGACCCUCCGGAAGAAAUAAAUGGAAUUCUAGUGAGGGAUGUGAUCGGUCGUUGGAUCGCUUUCUCGGACCUAUGAGUGAGUCAUCAUUUGGAUGACACAGAAGGACUUCGUGGAUUUCUUUCUUCAAGGAAAAAUCUGUUAAGUUGCUUUUCUUUUUGGUUAAGUAGCAGUUUGCACAUCUUUUAUUUUCAGAAAUGAAAUAUUUUGGAUUAGUGAUGAUUGUGAAGCCCUUGAUUUUUCUAAUCUCUUCCUUAAAGAAUUAAGAUGUGUGAACAUGUAACUACUAAGAACAAAAGUCAUCUGCUUAAUCUCACAUUUCAUUUUCAUUUUCUUCCUUUGUAGUUUAAUUGUAUUCCCUGACCUUUCCGGUACUGACCAUGACCCCUAUCUAUCAAAACCAAGUUCAAAUAAGGGAGAAUUUUUAAGGAGAUAUAUUGAUGACCUUGGGUGGAAUUUUUUCUUAGUAAAACUUUUAUGUGGUUUUACUCAAUAAACAAGUUACUCGUUUUACUCGACUUGAAUUUUUGCCUAUUUUGUCUAGAAUCAAUUACGUUUGAUGAUGAAACCAAUUACCAAAUAGUUCUUAAUCUAGUGAUACUUCUCUUCUCAACAAGUUACAAGGAUUCCGAACUCAAUUUAAUCACCUGUAGAAAUUACUUUGUCGCUGACAUGCCCGUGUGCCUUCAAAUGUUGAGGUCCAUUAGAAAGUGACCGUGCCUUUUAUCAAUAACAAACCCACAUGCCCAACUUGACCAACAAAUAAUAUUUUAAUAAAGUAACCGGUGCCUUUUAAGAAUGUAUUGUGGGAUGAAUUAAUGAUCUACCACAAUUAAAUGCAUUUUCAAAUAGCGAAAUAUUACAACAUCGCAGAGAGGUAUUGCAUGAUCUACCACUCUAGUUAUUCUGUUGCUGCAGUGCAGUGCAAUGCAGGUGUACAACUUAUUGUUCAACAGAAAACACAAAAUAACUUAACUUGAACUAAGUCCAUAAUAUAAAAAAGAUGAAGAGGCCAUGGACUGGAAACUCUGGAUCCAGAUGAUGUAGGGAUCAAGGGGUGUAUGGCCUUGGAAUAAGAUACAGAGGAGCUUUCUUAUGGACUGUGAGUCCGAACACUUCGGUCAUGUUCAAUGUGUCAGCCAAUUUAGUACCACCACUAGGCAACUUCCAAUCGAACCAAAACAGUAGGUUGGCAAGCACAUAUUCAGCUGAAGCAACCGCAAAGGCCAGUCCGGGGCACACCCUUCUUCCACCACCAAACGGGAGGAGUUCGAACUCUUGACCUACCAAACCGAUGGAGUUCUGCUCAAACCUCUCUGGCAUAAACUCUUCUGGCUUGUCCCAGACUCUGCGGUCUGUUUGUAUUGCGAAUGCAUUCACAAACACUUGUGUUUUCGCAGGGAUGUCGUAACCUCCCAAUUUUACAUCUGCAGUUGUUUCACGAGGAAGUAAAAGAGGACCUGGAGGAUGAAGCCUUAGAUUUUCGGUGAUUACACAUGACAAGUACUUCAUUUCCUUGAUGUCACUCUCGUCUACAUAUCCCCUUUUCCCCGCCACUCUUCUUACUUCUUCUUGGACUUUCUUCAUCACCCGUGGAUUUUGCGAAAGCUCAGACAUUAACCAUAGCAUUGAUGUCCAACUAGUAUCACUUCCCCCAACAAACAUGUCCUAAAUCAUGAAAUUAAAUAGCCAAAUCAAUCUUCAUCCAUAUAUAUUUUUAUUAGAAAAUUAGACGUAAAACCAAAAGUAUUAGGGUUUAUCAAUGUGCGCGUGUGUGUGGGUAUGCUCGUGCCUGUUCAAGAUAAAGUAAGUGAAUGAGUAUAAUGCGAGUAUGUAAGCUAGAGAGGGGGGGAUAUAGACCUGCAUAAGUCCUUUGACAUUGAACUCAAAAUCGAGCGAGCCAUCCUCUUCAAGGUCGAGGAGUAAAUCCACAAUAUCCUUCUUACGAGGCUUACCAUCUUUCUGCGCUGCUUUAUGUUCGUCAAGCAACUUAUCAUAAAAUCCAUCCAAUUCACGUCGAAUUGAUUUCAAACGUGCAAUGUAGCCUCUGGCAUGGUCAACCCAUUUCAAAGAAGGGUAGAAAUCUCCAAAGCUGAAAGUCAUCAUCUGAACCAUCAACUCCUUUAUGACCUUUUCAAACCAAUUGUCUUCUUUGUCCUCAAACUUCUGUCCAAGAACGCACCUACAGAUGAUGUUGUUGGAGGUUGACACCAGCAGCGGCCCCAGAUUGAUGGGAGCCCCGUUUGUGCUGGCGGAGGCUUUGCGAAUCUUGCUGACCAGCUCUGCACAUUCUUCCACCCUUGCGUACUGAAACUGCUGCACUCUUUUCACGCUCAGAAGCUCAAGAACAACCACUUUUCGAGCUUUUCUCCAGUACUCCCCGUAAGGAGCAAACGCAACGUUAUAGCCGUUGAAGAACAAUAUAGUUGCAGCUGUAGUUUGAGGCCGGCCAGAGAAACCAAUGUCUUGGUUCUUCAUCAUGUCCUUGGCCAGUUCUGCAGAUGAAACUACCAGCGUUGGAAGUUUGCCAAAGUGCAUGAGCAUUAUAUCACCAUACUUCUUCGACAGAUCACGAAGAGAGCGGUGUGGGAAUUUGCCUAGCUGGUGAAGGUUCCCAAUCAGAGGCAGUGUUGGUGGGGAAGGUGGCAGUUCGUAGUUUUUCCCACUUGAAGAUGAUCUUGUAAGUGAUAACAAAAUGUAUGCAGAAAGCAGGAGAAGAGGAAGCAGGAAAAUAUUGCUCUGAAGCUGUUGCCACAUUUCAUUGAAAAGUGAUAAUGCAGCCAUUGUUCUACUUUUUGCCUUUUGCUUUUGGCUGCUCACAUUAAAUUAAUAUAUGUGCCCUUCUUCUUCUUCUUUGUAUAGAGAAGCUGGCAUUGCAACUUGCAUGCGCCUACAAGGUUAGUUGUGAUCAACUUGUGAUGUCCAUGCCCCCCAAUUAUUUAAUGGGAUGCUUCGAUAUGGGUUCAUUUUUGAGUUUGCACUAUGAAUUCAGUUUAUCUUUCUUUUGAUGUAGAAUUGGGUCCAGCUCAGGCCAGCCAAGUAUGCAAAGCCUUGGCCAUUGUACAGUCAAUCCUCUGAAUUUUAUUAAUUACUGCAAUCAAUAAAUUAAUAUCACAUCUCUACGAUUAAUCUCAAUUUAUUAAAUGCUUUCAAUCUUUGAAUACCUUAUGAUGAGGUAUAUAUGUCUUUGGGUGGUUUGAUUUACCUGCUUUGCAGGUUUGUGUAUACCUCUUUCAUAGGUAAUUUCAUAUCAUAUAUCUCCUCCAUAGGUAAUUAAUAUAUACUUCCUCCAUAGAUAAAUAGCAUUCAGAUGUAUACCUCCUCCAUAGGUAAUUUACCUAUCCAUACCUAAUUAACAUUCAUGUAUAUUCCUAGUCCAUAGAUAAUUAUACCUCCUCCAUAGGACUACAAGAAGAAAAAGAAGGAAGAAGAAAGAUUGUGGGAAAUUUAGUUAUUUAUUUAUUGUAUCAGGGCAUGUUUAUGGGAUUUUCAAAAUUAAAAUGGAUGGACAAGAAAAUAUUUUAUAAAUUCAAAUCAUAAUUAACUAAAAGGUCAAAUAUAGUAAUUAUUGGCCUAAGAUUAAUUUCUCACUCUUUUAUGAAUUGCAAUCAGAAUCAAUAGUUGUAUUAAUUAGCUAAUUAUUAUGAUAUAAAUCAAUCUUCCCAAUUUAAAUCAUAAGGCAUAAUUGGAACAUGAAAAUAAAUGUAAAAAUAAAAAAUAUAUAUGAUUACAUCAUAAAAUUAGAAAAGGAAUGUAAUCCUAUGUGGCAUUAGAAGAGGACUUGGAUUACUAAUAAUACGUGUGUGGAUUGCACCCAAAUUCUACCGGAGAAAUUAUAGAAUGAUAUGGUAGUACCAUGUCAGCGUAUAGUACUCCCAUUUAAAUACAGCCACAUGUCCAUUUUAGAAAAGAAAUUAAUUACGUUUCACAACUGGACUUUUUAGUUUAAUUCUUAACUUUGGAAAUAAAAUUAGAAAAGAAAAAUUAAAAAAAGAAUUUCCUAACAGCCAACUAUCUCCUAACCCAACAACAACCCUAAUCCCAACUACCUGCUAUGAUGGCCACCCCUCUCCUUCCACUAUCUUCACCCCUGAUACUAAUUGUAGACAAGGGAUUUUAGAGGAAGGAGGAUUAAACUGGUAUUGAUGAUGAUGAAAUGGAGUAGUCUUGAUAAUUAAAAAUUGGUUCGUUCUUGAGGGUCUAUAUCUGGGUCUGAAAAUAUUCCAAGGUGGCAGUGGGUUGAAUUAACAUUGUGUAGAGUGUCAUAAGCGAAUUCAAAAAAAAUAUAUAUAUAUAUAUAUAUAUAUAGGGGAAUUAAGGAAGAUGAUGAUAUUAUUGGGUUUGGAUGUUGAUGGUUUUCAUGAGGAGCGGCGAUGGCAGUGGUGAAUAGAAAGAGAGAGGGGAGGAAGAGGAAGAGAGAAGGGUGGCUGCCAUGGUUUUUCUUCGUUUAAGUUUUCUCUUUUUCUAAUUUUAUUUCAAAACUUAAGAAUUAAUAAAGUAAAAAGUCUAGCUGUAAAAUAAUAAUGAAUUUCUUUUAUAAAAUGGACACAUGGCCGUAUUUGAGUGGGAGUACUAUACGCUAAUGUGGUAGUACCAUAUUAUUCUAUAAUUUCUCUAUUAUUAAGAAUUGGACUUAUACCAAAUUAUUUAUUAUUUAAUUAUAUACAAUAUUGAGAGAACUUGUUAGGUUCGUAACUUCACGGCCCUCCUGAAAUGAAUGUUGGGAAAUUACAUAAUGCAUUAAUUGAGCCGUUUUUACCAAAAUAAGGUGUCUUCCAAUUUUAGGUUUUAGCCUAGUUUCUUGUAUAGUUUUGUCUUUUUUAUUUUUAUUUAGUUACGUGCUUCAAUUAUUUUAUUUUUUUAUUUAUAUAAAUGAUAUUGAGGGAGGGUUUUUUCACACAUUGUAAUAUAUUAUGAGAAUUCGAACCUGAGACCAUUGAUUUGCAAGUUAAUGUCAUUUUCCACUGGGUUAGAUCUCCCUAAACCCUAUAAUAAUAAUACUCAAUUUGCCAGCUCCUAUUUAUCAUGUUUUAAUCAAGAUGAUGCUUAUCCGUCGGCUUAUGUGCUUCAUAUCUUGAUUGCACAAAGGGACUUUUUUAUUAUACGAAAUAAGAUAAUUUUUUGUUUUAAAAGUCUUGCUAUUUUUUCUCGUACCUUUCUUUGUGGUACCAACUAAAGAUAUAUAAAACUAUUAAUCUCUGUGCAUAAUUAAUUAAUUUGUCAAAUUGUCAAGAUGCACAUUGAAUUGAGGUCUCUCCAAACUCCAACUUGAUCAGUGUCAAAUUCACCACAAUCAAAAGGGAGGAAUUGAGUCACUUUCUUCCUUUACAUUCAGAACCAAGUAGGGCACUGCAAUCACUGACUUAAUCUGUAGCCAAAAGUAUUCAGCUUUUAAGGAGAAAAGGAUCAAGAAAAUGCGAUUUUGUGAUAGAGGCAAGUUUUAACAUGGAUUGAGAUGCCAAACCACAUGUGAGGCUUUCACCAACAACAUUUUCUUGCAUUAAAAGAAUCUCUAUGGGGACAAAAGAGGCCUUAAGACUUUUUCUACUUAAAGCAUAUGGUUUUUCCAUAUGAAUAGACUAAGAACCAUUCCUAUAUGAAUAGACUCGUACAAUUGUAUUUGAGUGUCAGCUAUUUUAAUAUAUUAUUUUUUAUACAAGUGAUAUUCUACUUUAAUUUAAUCUAUAUUAUAAGAAGAGUGAUUUGAACUCAGAUGCAGAAUAAAAAGCAUAUUUUUUUUUUUUGCGAAAGAAGAGCAUAUUCAUUUUAGUCAACUUAACAAAGCCCAUAUGUGCAAUUAUUUUUCACAAUUAAACAACUCAAUUUGAGGUAGGAAUUUUCCUUAUACAAUUAAAUUGCUUGCUUUGCUGCAUGCAAUUUCAUUUCCAAAAAGUAUAUGCAUGGCCUAGCCAUUAUGUCUUUCAAAUCAACUGCUCAUCAUGGGGCAUCUUUUCAAGAAAUUAUUAAUCGUACCUAGCAUUGUCAGCAAGACGUUAGGGCUGUAAUUAUGUGAAGAGCGAUGUUUGCCAAAUCAAUUAUAUAGGGAGGACCUACUGCAAAACUACUUGUUCUUUGUUUUUUUAGGUCUGAAGUCCAUCUACUUGUUCAGUCCACGCCAAUGAAGUGUAGUCUAUCCAAAAUAGGAAGGGUGCUCCAGUUUAGACGCAAGUACUAUUUGUUUUUUUUUGGUCGAAAGGCGUAAGUACCAUGUGCAGGGUUUUGGGUUUUUCUUUGUAGACAAAAACAUUGAAGUAUCUAAAACAUAAUUGUUCUGACUAUUGAAAAAUUAGACAAAGGGGAAAUGAUUCUUAUGCCAAAAUGAAUUUCAACAUCACUUUCUACUGACAAAAUUUCAUUUGCUUGUAUCGAAGCUUUCAUUGAAAUUUAUUAAUUUUAACGAAAUUAGAAUAUGUCAUUUGUCACGUCAUUUGGUGAAUAAAAUUUAAAAAAAAUGUAGUAAGAUGCCAAGCCACAUAUAGGGAUGGCAACGGGUCGGGUAGGGGUUGGGUAUGACGAUACCAUCCCCGUUCUCGCUCUCCAUCCUCGCCCCUAUCCUUGAACCCAUUCCCGUUUAAUCGGUUUCGACGAAUCCCCAUCUCCGUCCUCAUCGGGGGACUAUCCCUCCUACCCGCCCCGAAUCCCUGAUUUUUUUUGCAUAAAAAAAAUAUUUAUCAUACAUUUUUACAUUAAAUUUUAUAUUAAAUUAUCAUUCAACACAUCCAAAUUAACUAUAAAGUUCAACUAAAAAUCACAUCAAUAUGAAAUUCCAAAGAAAAUUAGGAAGAAUUAUGGGAGGGAGGUUAACUUAGGGUUAAACAUAAAUAUUGUAAUUAUAUAUUUAUUUAUUUAAAUAUAAACAUAUAUAUUUUCGGUUCGGGUUCGGAGAUGGGGACGCCAAUACCAUCCCCUCCCCAUAUUCGUCGGGGAUUUUUCAAGUUCGGGGAUCUCCAUACCCGAUACUCGUUUGGUCUCGAAAUCUCCUCUCUUUUGGGUCGAUGAUAGGGAUGGCAACGGGUCGGGUAGGGGCUGGGUGUGAUAAUACCAUCUUCGUCCCCGCUCUUCAUCCCUGCCCCCGUCCUCGAAUUCAUCCCCGUGUAAUAGGUUUUGGGGAAUCCCUAUCCCCGUUCCAGUCGGGGGACUAUCCCCCAUACUCGCCCCAAAUCCCCAGAUUUUUUUUUUGCAUAAAAAAUAUUUAUCAUAUAUUUUAAUAUUAAAUUUCAUAUUAAAUUAUUAUUUAACACAUCCAAAUUAACUAUAAAGUUCAACUCAAUCAUUCAAAAUCACAUUAAUAUGAAAUCCCAAAGAAGAUUAGGAAGAAUUAGGAGAGGGAGGUUAACUUAGAGUUAAAUAUAAAUAUUAUAAUUAUAUAUUUAUUUAUUUAAAUAUAAACAUAUAUAUUUUCGGGUCGGGUUUGGAAAUGGAGACGCCAAUACCAUCCUCUUUCCAUACCCAUCGAGAAUUUUUCAAGUUCAGGGAUCCUGUACCCGAUACCCAUUUGGCCUCAAAAUCUCCCCCCAUUAGAAUUCGGGACCCACCCUGGCGGGGAUUUUUGCCAUCCCUAGCCACAUGUGAGGCUUUCACUAACAACGUUUUCUUGCAUUAAAAGAUUCUCUAUGGGGACAAAAGAAGCCUUAGACUUUUUCUACUUAAAGCAUAUGGUUUUUCCAUAUGAAUAGACUAAGAACCGUUCCUGUAUAAAUAGACUCGUGCAAUUGUAUUUGAGUGUCGGUUAUCUUAAUUUAUUAGUUUUUAUACAAGUGAUAUUCUACUUUAAUUUAAUCUAUAUCAUAAAAAAAGGGAUUUAAACUUGAAUGCAGAAUGGGAAGUACAUUCAUUUUAGCAAAUUUAACAAAGCUCAUAUGUGCAAUUAUUUUUUACAAUUAAACUACUCAAUUUGAUGUAGGAAUUUUCCUUAUACAAUUAAAUGCUUGCUUUGCUGCAUGCAAUUUCAUUUCAAAAAAGUAUAUGCACGGCGCAGCCAUCAUGUCUUUCAAAUCAACUUCUCACCAUAGGGCAUCUUUUCAAGAAAUUAUUAAUCGUACCUAGCAUUGUUAGCAAGACAUUAGGGCUGUAAUUAUGUGGAAAGUGAUGUUUGCCAAAUCAAUUAUAUAGGGAGGACCUACUGCAAAACGACUCUGUGUGAAACCCAUCUACUUGUUCUUUGCUUUUUUUUAGGUCUGAAGUCCAUCUACUUGUUCAGUCCACGCCAUUGUAGUCUAUCUAAAAUGGGAAGGGUGCCCCAGUUUAGGCGUAAGUACUUUUUGUUUUUUUUCGGUUGAAAGGCGUAAGUACUAUGUGCGGCGUUUUGGGUUUUUCUUUGUAGACAAAAAUAUUGAAGUAUCUAAAUCAUAAUUGUUUUGACUACUGAAAAAUGAAAAAUGCUAGCAACCUUCUUUCUAACAUUUUCUUUUGGACAUUUUCUUUUCUUUGCUUGACAUGUGUCAUUCUCCUUACACUUAAAACAAUGUCAUUAAUAUAUUAUACAAGCUAACUUUUGCUUUUCAAGUUUACCCUUAUUAAAUGUAUUUAAUUUAUUCAAAAAAAAUUCAGAACUUUCUUACAAUAUCUUAACAUUGAAGUAUCUAAAUCAUAAUUGUUUUGACUAUUGAAAAAUUAGACAAAGGGAAAAUGAUUCUUAUGCCAAAAUGAAUUUCAACAUCACUUUCGAUCGACAAAAUUUCAUUUGCUUAUAUCGAAGUUGGCAUUGAAAUUUAUUAAUUUUAAAAAAAUUAGAAUAUAUCAUCUGUCACGUCAUUUAGUGAAUAAAAUUUUUUAAAAAUCUUUCGGUGCCUCUAUAUUAUUAAGGCAUCAAAUAGUGCAAAUCAUGACAUCUUAUUUCAAUGUUCAUUAACAGACCUUCAUACAAUCAAGGCAUCGGAUGCAAGUAGGGUGGUCCCUUUCUCAACCCAAUAAUAUGAGUUCAAACAUUAUAUGUGGAACACAAUAACACUCCUUUUAAUCAUUCAAUCUAAAAGGGUAUAUGCGACAGCUGGCCAAGAGGUAUAUUCCAUGUACACAAAAUGUUACUUUCAAUUUCAACUACAUGCCAAUAUUUCUACAGCGAAAAUUCCAAUUAAACAUGCAAAAGGAAAAUGAAAUGUGAUGUGAUGUACUACCUAGGGCUCGUCAAUGAGCCGGGCUGGGUUAGCCAGGCCCAAAUUUAAUGGACUUGAGUCAGACCGGAAUUUUUUAGAAAAUUCAAAACCCAAGUCCGACCCAUGAACCGGACUUGAGAAAGUCCAUCGAACCAAGCCAAGCUAAGCCCAACAGGCAGGGCCUAAACAGGCCCUACUUCAUUAAAAAAAAUCGUAAACUUAAUCAUAAGGACAUUUUAGUCCAAAUUUGAGAUUAAACUCACUUAAUUCCAAUAUUUUCACAUCAAAUCAAAUUCAUAAAACACCCAAUAAAGUCAUACAACUUAUAAGAUUUUCCACAAAAAUAAUAAAACCAAGUAUUAUUUUUGAUGUUAUUACAUAAUUAGAUCGUAAUACGUUUUAAGAAAUAAUUUUAAAAAAUAAUAAGUAUCAAAAAAAUAUUUUUUUAAAGGAUGGUAUGAAUAAAUAUGCAAAUAUUUGGUGAUGUGUUCAAGAAAAGCAUGAUUAUAUUUGGUGGUACGAUUAUGUUUCGUGAUAUGAUUAUAUUUGGUGAUGUGAUAUGUUGUUCAUCUUAUUUAUAUAUAUAUAAUUGUUGAAUUAAUAAUUGACACAAAUUAAUGUGCUAAUCAUCCAAUUAUAAACUAGGAAUAAGUAAAUAAAAGUAAAUAAAAUGAAACAAAUUAUAUAUGUGAUUUAAGUGAUAUAAUCAUAAACCUAAACUCUUAAUUAUAUAUAAUUAUAUAUGUAUGCGGGCCUAACGGAUCGGGUUUUUGUGGGCGGGCCGGGUCGGGCUUUCUUGGGCUUAAUUGGACCGGGCCUAUGAGUCGGGCCGAGCUUUAGACACCCAAGCCCAAGCCUAGCCCGGCCUAAGGCGGGCCGGGCCAUCUCAAAGCUCAUAACGGGCCAGGCCGGGCUUUUUUUCGAUGGGCCGGGUGAGCCCCCAUCAGCCCAUGAGCCUGCGGGCCAAAUGAUGAGGCCUAGUACUACCUGUAGUGUCUAUUUGGAUAGAAAGAAGAAUAGAAAAUUCGGUAUAAGUCCAAUUCCUAUGAUAGAAUUUGGGUACAAUCCACAUAUUUGUUGUUAGUAAUUUAAGUCCUCUGACUUUUGUGCAAUGUAGGAUUACUUACCUCUUUUUUUUUUCAUUUCUAAGGUUUAUAUUUUAUUUUCUUAAUUUUUUAAUUUAUGUUGUGCUUCCAAUUUUGCCCCUAAGAUAGAAAUCAAGUAACCUAAAACAGUAAAAUAUCAAAAAUCGCGUUAAACAAUCCUCAUACGACAAGAAUAGAAAGAAUCGCAAAAAUCGUAUCUUUCACAAUCAAUUAUGGUCCUGUCAAGCCGUUUCUGUAAAUUUCAUGCUUCUUAAUUGCCGAGGGUUUUGGGUUUCAUUUUAGAGUUGAAUUUGCAUUUCGUCUUCUUCAAUUGCAGCCGGGGGAAUUUGCCGUCAUUUGGGGAUUCUCACCUUGCUUCUCCAUCAAUUGCAGUGCCUGUGUUCCAGGUACACUAUUAGAGGUUACCUAUGCCAUAGGUACACUGUUAGAGGUUGCCUUUAGCUGUGGAAUUAUGCUGCUAGAGAUGCAAUUAGCAAGGCUAAAACCAUGGAAAUAUGACUUCUAUGUACUAGCCAUAGCUGUUUGACUCGGCUAACCCAUUGCUUAUUCAUAUCAGCACGAUUAUUUAGAUAUCUAUGUCCAGUUCCCUUUUUAUACAUAUGACUUAUGUAAUGAGAAGUCUGCUAUUUGUAUUGUAGAUUAAUCUUAACUAAAAGCAUCUAAAAACCCAGCUGGAACAGCAGAAGUUCGCUCCUAACUAUUUCAUUUGGUGAUACAGUGUUUGAUGCAUGGUAUGUUAUAGGUUAUUUAUCAAAUUCAUAAAACUUUCUAAAUGUAGAAGCUUUAGAGGUGAUCGUGAUUGCGUGAAUUCAUUUGCUGUUUUUGGCUAGAGUUAUGAUUUGUACUAGCCCAAAUGUUUUGUGUGCAAAUGUCAUGAUCUGUACAUAUAUAUUGCAUUUAAUUUUUCCUCUCUCCCUCCUUCAUGUUAAUGACUUAAGAUUAUACUUGUGAGUUUUACAGUCAUGUUCUUGUUUUGUCCAAGCAGUUAUGUAAAUCUUCAUUUGUGCCUUCAUUAUUGUAGGGCCUUUUUCGUUCCGGCAACUACUGAUGGGUCUAGGAUGCUGUAAAGAGCCAAAUGUGUGAAAUUGUCCAGAGUCUAAGUUUAAGAAUCAGACCGUAAGAGUGCUUCGAAAAGGUAGCUGAGCCUUAGGAAACACCUUGGUCUUCUUCACCAAUGAAACCAACAGUUGCUUACAGAUAAAUUCUUGGCUUAGCUUGAGAAGCUUGUGGCAUGAAAGCUAAACAUUCAUGAAUUUAGCAUGAGAGAGAGAAAGUGUAACAUCUAGAAAAAAAAAAAAAAAAAGAAGAAGAAGAAACCUGUAAGCCAAACAUUCAUUAUUCCAUUCAUUCUUCCCCCUCUUCCCUUAGAUUCUCUUCAAAAAUCUGAUUUUGGGAUGAGUUGUUCAUCUAUUUGGGGUGAGUCACCUAGUCUAGGUUAAGGAUAUUAAUUUCUUAAACAAAGAUAAGAUUGGGGAUGAAGGGGAUGAAGGAAAUGAAAUUUGGGUGAGGCAGAGAAUGGAGAAUAGGGGGAAGAGAAGAAAAAAUUCUCUAAGGUGAGUCAAUUUAGAAUUUGUGAUUUUUAACUUUGUGUUUGUGUGUUUCUAGUGCCUUAAAGAGUAUUUUGAGUCAUUUGAGUGAUGGGGAAAUUGAAUUGGAAGAGUUUGAAUUUCUAUUUUUGGGUAGGGUGCGUAGAGUAAUUUUUCAAGUGUGGGUGUUUAUGAUUUCGGUUUCAUUUUGAGUUUUUUUAUGAGUUUUAAUGAUAGGUAUGAACUUUAGAAGAGUUUUAGAAGCUAUAGGAACAACUUGGAAGUGAUAGAAUGGUUAAAAACAACUUAGAACCAAAUCUGAAAAUUUGGAUUUUCUGGAAAUUUGCAGUCCUCGAGCCUUAUUUUGGCUCUAUUUUUCUCCCAAUCCUUUGAGUGUUUGAGGAAGACAUUUGUUGGGUUUUAAACUAGACUUGGCAAGGAACAAAACACAAUCGGUUUUGUGGAAUUUGGUUGAGUUUUUAUAGGUCAAACACAUGUGCAUAGUUUGGAAAACAAAUCUGUUUUCUGCAAAAAAAACAGCCACGAGUCCAACUUUGGAGCUAGUUUUCUCAUUCGUUUUAUCUCCUUUUGAGUAUGGUUUGUUGGGUUAGAAACUAGAGGAAAUAAGCUUCAAAACCACUACAAGUUUGCCCAAUUUUGUUAACGUUUGGCUGGUCAAAAUGUCUCACAAAGUCUGAAUUUUUAAUCUGGAAAAACGGGAAGUUGCAGAUUUUUAGGGAAGAUGAUGAACAGUAACCGAAAACAAGCCCACUCGCCACUAGCGGACCUAGUAAGGCGUAAGGAGGUGCAGAUGCACCUUCCCUCGCCGUAAAACCAUUGUAUGUGCUUUGCCCCUUUGCUCAACUGGUGUACAGAUUACCUUAUUUUCAUUUUCAACAUUUAAGUAAAUGUCUUUGUCCUUUUACUUUUAUAUAUUUUUAUAUUACUCAAUUUACUUAAGUUUACAAUGUAAAUAAGGAAGUACUCCCCAUUUGAAUUCAAAUAAAAAUACUAGAAAAUCAAAUUCCCACCAAAUCAAAAUAUGAAAAUUCGAUUUUAGUGCAAAAUAUGAUUUAGGCUAAAAAUGAUAGCCUAAAUCAAGUUUUCUAUUUGAUGUGUAAGGAAUAAAAGCCACCAAAAAUUAUCUUGAGAAAAUGAUUAUUCCGAAAAACCAUUUUUCAUACGUACUCAAUAUUACACCUCCGCUAAAAAAUUUCUGGGUCCGCCAGCGCCACUCGCGGCUCCAGUGAGUGGCGGCACGUGGUGGCUGUUUCGGCAGCCUCCGACGCCAUAUUUUUAGUCCAUUCGACUCGAUUUCUCAAUUUGCGUUCAAUGGUAUAUGUUUUGAGUCAAUCCAUGGUGGUGCAAAGUAUGGAUUGUUGUGGGGCCCACGAGACCCAAACUAGUAACUUUUGGAUAACGGGUGUAGUUGGCCUUUUUUCGGUAUUGACAGGGCAUAGGACAGAGUUUUAGAUUAUUUUGGACGAGAUUUGGCCUCUUUGGACCCCGGGUUGGUCCUAAGGGCAUUUUCGUCAUUUUCACGCAAAAUCUUUGAAAUGCAUAAAGUUGAGGUUGGACUUAGGUGAAAUAAAGUGAAGAUUACUCAAUAAUAAUUUGGAUUUGAAUUUGUUCAGGAAUUAGAUCAAAAGUGUAGAUUCGACAAUUCCGAGAAUCUCCGAAGGGUAAAUUUGGUACUUUAGCUAGUUGGACAUGAGGUAGGGUUUCCUGAUUCCCGAUGAUUGGGCUAUAUCCCUUUUAAUCUUGGUGCUUAUAUAUAAUACUAUAAAUAUGAAUAUUAUUGUUGCUUUACUCGGUGAAUAUUAUUUGAUGUUAUGUGAAUAUUAUUAUUGAUGUUCCUCCAUGGAUAUUAUUUUUUAUGUUGGAUGAAUAUAAUUAUUCAUGUGAUUAAGCCUAAUAUAUAUUAUUGUUAUUAUUUGUGUUAUUAUUCUGCAGAGAUAAAUGAGGUUUGCACUGCAUUACAUAUGCAUCAUAAAGAUAGUGGUGUUUGGGGGUGUGUGUGUGUCGUUUGAGGUAUAUCUAAGGGGUGGGAGAAGGCCUUAAAUAUAUCUGAGUAAUAAAAAUGUGAAAUAAAUUCAAGUGAUGGGAGUAGGACUUGAAUAUUGAGGUGAUGGGAGCAGGGCCUCUAAUGAAAAGUGAAAGUUGAGAAAUUCGUAAACAAAAGAAAACUGGGUUAAGGGAUGGAUGGGCGCUAGUUCAUAUUUUAAGGGUAUUCGGAGCCACAAUGGUAACAUGCAUGGUAUGGGACAUGCAGGCUUGUUGCCCUAAGGUAUGAAUUAGUAGGAUUAGAAGGGAGUGAGUUCAUGGCAUCACUGCAUAUGCAAAUUUAUUUAUCUAGUAUGGUUGUAUAAUUUCUGUAUCUUGUGUUGUUUGUUGUAUGACACUUUGAUUAACUAUGAUAGUUGACCUUGAGGGGUUUGACAGUACUCUAUUGGGUAUUAGAAUGCUCAUACCCUAAUAGAUUGUGCAGGAUUCAAGGUGAAGUUUGAGGAAACGGGUUUCAACCAAGCUACUAAACUUUUGUUGUUGAUUUGUGUAAUUAAUAAUUGUAAGUAGUCAACCAUUUGAUAAAGAUCUUAGUGUGUAUUUAACUACGAGCUACUGCGACUCUGAUUCUGUGUUAAGUAAAUUUGUAUUCAUUUGUGGCUCUUUUUCUCAUUAUAUCAUGAUUGUAGGAUUUUAUUCUUAUGACUAUGGUAUGACUCACACCCUGAUUCGGGAAUAUUCCUUAUUUUCGAAUCGGGUCGUGACAGAAAGACCAGGUUUUCUACGAGAAACAGAGGUUAAAGCAAAGGAUUUCGUGAGAAUUUGCUUAGGAGAACUGCAAAUUCUACUAAUCUCCACAGUAAGGCUAUUAUUAACAUUUGGAGAGUAGAAAAUUUGAGACUUCUCAAAACUUAUAACCUGGCUAGAAGCUAGGCAAAAUCUAUCAAGACAUCUGAUUGGGGGUGGUGAAAAUUCACCUAACCCGAGCACCUUUCGAAAAAACAAGCUCCGAGCAUGAAGAAUGGCAGCCGGGCUUAAGGAGUUGCAGCCAGGCUUGAGUAGCGACCGGCCUGAAGAAGUAUCACGGCCGACCUUGGAGAAGUUUGGCGGUCGGGUCUUGGAGUUUUCGAGAAGAACGGUCGGGCGUGAAGUUUGGCCACCGGGAAAGAAGUUUGGCAGCCGAGUCUCCAAGAGCUUGGCUGCCGAGUUUGCAUCAGCUGGAAGUUGGAGUGGCAGCCGGGCUUGGAGCAGCUAGAAUCUAGAAGAGCUGCAGCCGGGCUUCUAGUGGCCGAGGCCAUUGGAGCUAGAGUGGCCGGAACCCAGAGCUGGUGCUGGGCUGAAGAAAUCCGGAUUGUACUCAAUGCAAUCGGUUUGUGGCUUUGAGGAGCUGUAACAUUACAGCUGGAAAAGUAUGGUUAGAGAGAUUUUAGUUGGAGUACUCUUUAGUUUAUAUAUAUAUAUAUAUAUAUAAUAAAAGUGAGUGGCCAUUUAAUAGGGUUGGAGGUUUGAAAGUAAUUUGGGCCUUUAGAACUCAAGAGCUCAAAUCUCAUGAGGGUCAGCCCCAUAUAAUUCCAUGGAGCCCAGAGGUCCAAGCCUAAGCCACGGAAUCACGCCCAAGAUUUCCAGACGUCAGUGUGCACGUGACGGAAGGCCUCACAAAGAAAGAAAUCAAAGAGGUUGAUGACAAUUCAAAAUUUUCUAAAACGAGAGAAAAUCAAGCAACCAUAAUAUCUCUGCCAACGUGAUUCAUAGCUAGAAAGGAAAGAAUUUUAAAAGAGUUGAAAUUUGGCCAUUCAAUGGCUAGCUCAUGCCAAUGGGCACCCUAUAUAAACCUCACCAAACGAAGGUAGAAGACACACAUCAUUAGACACAUAAAUCUAUUUUUCGUCUCACACUUUUCUUUUCCUAGAUUUAGGGUUUUACUUUUCAAGCGCCUAGUGUAGCGAGUUCUUCCUUUUUUCUAGUGUAAGUUUAAAUUCUUGUUCAAUUUACAUUCCUUGUCUUUUAAAUUCUAGUUUGUUUCAAUUGCUUUACUUUUCAUUGUUAUCGCACUUUCAUUAAGUUUAAUUUCAAGUUUAAUUUAGUUUGUCGUUCUUAUUGUUCUUAUUUCUUUCUUGUUUAUUUAUCACCUUGAUAUAUUUUAUCAUACUUUAAUUCUCGUCUUUACAUUAUUUAUUUUACGCACUUUACUUUACUCAUUUAUCUUUAAAUUAUAUUUAAAUUUAAGCAGCUUUACUUUAUGCACUUGUUCUUCGUUUCAUUACGUUGACCUUCAAUCUUCAUCUUCACACACUCCACGUCCUUUGGUUGCUCACAUAAAGGCUUGACCCCGAAGUAGUGAAAGAACUUAUGCCAUGAGGAGGUUCUUUGCUCGGCCGAACAAUCGUUUGAUUAAAGUCAGAUCUCGGACACAACAUGCACUCACAUUCCAUUCAAGCCAAAUUCGUGGCUUGGUGGUAGCACGCCCUGCACUCAAAAAAGAAGAAGGACCAAAAGUUCCUUCCAUCGGCCGCCUUGGCCGAAAAGAGGGAAACAACAUUGCUUCAUCACUCUAGCCUGUCUUGUACUAGCUUUAGCAAAAAAGAGCAGAUCAUCCGCAAAACACAGGUGGGAGAUCUUAGGGCCAUUUCUAGAGAUAUUUCCUAAAAUAUGAGAAUUAUGAGAGAAUAUUUCUUUGUGGGUAUUUUCUAUGUAUUCUUCUCCUUGUAGGAGGUCAUAUUUAUAAUACAACGAAACCUGAAUGGGCAAGUAAAUAAUAAAUUCCUAAAUCUAUUUAGAGUAGGAAAUUAUGAAUUAAAGUAAAUCAAUUACAAUUAUAAUGGGAAUUCUUGGUGUGUAAGGAAAGUAAGUCAAUAGUCCAGAAGUCACGCCAACACUCCCCCUCACGUUGGUGCAUAGAUGUCGCCAAUGCCCAACUGAUCCAGUGAAUUGUGGAAUACUUUACUGAAAAUUGCCUUUGUCAAAAUAUCUGCCAAUUGAUCCUCGGAUAUUUUGACAAAGUGUCGAUCCACGAAAAGAAACUGAAACACUUUAGCCUCAAGCUUUUGUUUGAUAAAGUGUCGAUCCACCUGUGUUUUGGUGUGUAAGGAAAAUAAGUCAAUAGUCCACAAGUCACGCCAACAAUAUUGACAGCUCUCCACUCUUUCUUGACAACAGCCUCACUAAUCAUGUGAGAAAGUUUCUCAAGACACCAAAAACAAAUACGGUGACAGGGGAUCCCCCUCUGUCUCACUCCUCUUGCAGGAACAAAAGGCGGGGUAGCUUCACCAUUCACAAGAAUCUGGAACUAAACCGUGGAGACACAUUGCAUGAUCAAUUGGAUUGUAGACUUAUGAAGAUUGAUCUCUCUAAGAACAUACUCCAGAAAAUUUCAGUUCACUCUGUCAUAAGCUUUAAAGAUGUCAAUUUUCCAAGUGAUAAAACCUUUUUUCACUCAAAGAAAAAACAAACUUCCACUCUCUCUCUCUCUCUCUCUCUCUCUCUCUCUCUCUCUCUCUCUCUCUCUCUCUCUGUAUAUCAGGUUCUACAUUUCUCAGGAAGCUAUUAACUUGUUAUUAAAUGGUUCCUUGGGAUUGAUAUUCCAAAAUAGUUUAACAUCCUUUCCUGCCUUAGCAAUCAUAUUUCACACACUAAUGCAUGUUUUUCAGCGUGAUGUGGUAUUAGUUGAACUUCAAUAUUACAGAACUCUUGGUUCAUGCUCAUCACUGAACCUGAAACCUAGGAGUUUUUGUUUGGGAAUGUAACCAGGAAGAUCAAAAUAUACCAAACUUUUGCUCAUCAGGUAAAUAAAUUGUGUAGCUCUUAUUCUUGUUAUUAACUGUUAAAUUAAAAUCUCCACGUCAUCCUGUUUUUUUUUUUUUUUAACUGUUUGGUAACACCACUUUGCCAUCCAUAAACUAUAACUAUUCUUCUCCCUAAGGGAAUUUUACUAGGAAAUUAACCAUCUGGUAUGUAAAUCAUGUUUCAGAGUUCACAUUUAAACACAACCUUUAAACUUGGACAAUAAAUUAUAGGACCGUUGCCAAUGACCCGACGCCAUCUAUAACAAGUGUGGCUUGAACUGUUCUUGAAUUAGAAAGCAAAUUUAAAAAGCUCCAUUACUUAGCAUGUAAGUUAUGUUUCAGAGUUCAAUUGGAAAAAAUUAUGCUAUCGUUGGCAACUGUCCCUUGCCAUCUAUAACAAUCCAGGCUUGAACUUUUGUUGAAUUUAGGAAGCAAUUUAAUUAGCUUCACUACUCAAAAUGCAAAUUAUGUUUUUAAAUUUCAAAUUCAAACAUUAGGAAGCAAUUGAAUAAAUUAUGUGGCUGUUGCAACGGUCCCCUGCCAUAUUCGAUAUCUUCCAUUUUUAUCAUCUAUGACUUGAAAAGGCAUAACAGGGUAAUUAAGCUAACUCUAGUAUAAAUCUGCUCAAUUGUUCAAGUUAUCCAUCAUUGUGUGUUUGCUAAACCACAGCCUUAUUCAGUCGGGACAAUAAGAAAUAUGGCUGCAGCCCCUUCCCCAAGGAUGCUAAUCACUAAUAAGGGACCAUGUGUCCGCUACAUUGCUUGGACUCCACCCUUGAAUGGUUUCUGGAGGCUCAGCUUCACAGGUCAUUACAAGCACGAAUCAAAGACUGCUUCAGUCGGUUGCAUUAUGAGGGAUCACAAUGCUGUAUUUAAAGCUGCCUUUGAAUUAGGAGUGUGAGGCUCCGACAUGUCAACAUGUAUGGUAAUUUGGCUGCGAACUUGCUCGCGAGAAUUCCUUUGCAGCCUCAACAAGAGAGGUCUUGGUCCAGAACAAAUAAGUGGAAUUCUAGUGAGGGAUGUGAUCGGUCGUUGGAUACCUUUCUCAGACCUAUGAGUGAGUCAUCAUUUGGAUGACACAGAAGGACUUCGUAGACUUGUUUCUUCAAGGAAAAAUCUGUUAAGUUGCUUUUCCUUUUUGCUAAGUAGCAGUUUGCUUAGUAAUGAUUGUGAAAAGCCUUUGAUUUUUCUAAUCUCUUCCUUAAAGAAUUAAGAUGUGUGAACAUGUAACUACUAAGAACGAAAGUCAUCUGCUUAAUCUCACAUUUAAUUUUCCUUUUCUUCCUUCGUAGUUUACUUGUAUUCGCUGACCUUUCCGGUACUAACCAUGACCCCUAUCUGUCAAAACCAAGUUCAAAUAAGGGAGAAUUUUUAAGGGGAUAGAUUGAUGACUUUUGGGGGAGUUUUUUCUUAGUAAAACUUUUGUGGUUUUACUCAAUAACCAAGUUACUUUUUUUACUCGAUUUGGAUUUUUGCCUAUUUUGUCUAGAACCAAUUACGUUUGACAGGGAAACAAUUAUUAAAUAUUUCUUAGUCCAGUAGUACUUCUCUUCUCAAUAUUAAAAGAGAGUCGAAGUUUGAAUCCCUUCCCUAUAAACCAAAAAAAUGAUUAUUCCUGAAGCACUGACACUUUCUCAAGACUAAGCAUAUGAUAUGCGAAAUUACUUACUGACUAGGAUCUUGAUUUCUUAAGAACAAAAUGGAAAUUAAAAACCCAAAAAGCAAAAAAAAAAAAAAAAAAAAAAAAAAAAAAAAAAAAAAAAGAAGAAGAAAAAGUUAGCUGGGAGAUUAUCUGGGCGUUAAUAGAACCAAGCCAGUGGGCCAAAUCAAUCAUAUUAGAUUAUUUUGGGCCUGGGCCCGAUUAAAAAAGAUUUGGUCAGACACAUCACGUUUGUUUUUGGCCGUUGGACAUCAUAUUCAGAUGUUAUUAUAGUCAAAAGACUUUAAGAAAACACUAACACCCAAGCCAACGGUAACUUUCUUGUCUCUGUCUUCUCCUUCCCCUUUCUGUCUUCCCCUUUGCUGCUCCAAAUUCCAAUUAAAACCCCAAAACCAAACUUCACCAACACAAAAGUUCUUAGCUUUACAUCACAAAUGGCAUUAAAAGAAGCAGCUUCACUCACUUCACUGAAACAACAAGAACAAGAAGAAGAAGAAGAAAGAGAGAGGUUCAUAGUUUUGAGCAGCACUUGCAAAGUGGUGGAGUAUUUACAGCCAGUGAUGUCAAAAGAGCUUCUCUGCAAGUUUCCAGACAACUCUGCUUUCGAUUUUGACUACACUCAGAGUUCAAUAUGGUCCCCUUUGGUCCCUCGAGCUCAUGCUCCCAUGGAUUUGGACUUGGAUUUCGAUUUCAUGACGCCAAGGAAGCUCAAUUUCGAGAUGGGGUUGGAGUUGGAAAGUCAAAGCAGCAUCAAGAAAGUCAGUUCUAGUAUUAAGAAGAAGAUCUCCACCGCUGGAUUUAAUAUUAGCAGGAGUGCGUUGAAGAACAAGAAGAAGAAGAAGAAGAAGAAGAAGAGCAAGAUGGCAUUGGCUUCUGAUUUCUCUCCAACUCCUGUUAAGGUUCAUUGUAACCCCUUAGCCUCAAAGGUACUGCCUUUUUCAUCUGGGUUCUUAGAUCUUUCUUUUUUAUUUAUUUAUUUUAUAUACAUAUUUUUAUAAGCUGAAAGAAUCUGGGUUAGAGCACAAGGUUUAGAUCACUGAAUCUGAGAUUACCCUUUUGAGAUUUUCUCUGAAAAUGAUCUCAAUUUACAAGCUAUUUGAAGUAAAAAUAUGAAAUUUUUGGGGAAAGAGAUGAGAAUUUAAGGCAACCCAUAAAGAUGCAGUUGUUAGCAUCAAAGUUUUGGGAAUUUGUUUUCUGCUUUAGCGCCAAUUUCUCUGUUUUGCAGGGGAAGAACUUAGAACUAAAAUCAAUCUGGUGACUGGAUUUCUAACAUAUGAAGGUUCUGUCAUUUGUGUUCAG
This 32439-nucleotide long non-coding RNA is filed under the name Prunus persica (peach). RNAcentral describes it as "long non-coding RNA (PPER_LNC003776)". Lineage: Eukaryota; Viridiplantae; Streptophyta; Magnoliopsida; Rosales; Rosaceae. The record is from RNAcentral.